AUGCAUCGUGCCAACUGCGAUGUAGCCUCGGUCAUAAUUUUCAUCUCAGCGCUCAAACUCGACUCAACUUUCGUUCGCUUUGACCUCUCCGUCGACCUUGGUUCUCACAGCGGUUCCGACGCGUCUUCAUCGGCGGAAAUGAUAAACAACAACGUAGGAGAGAUGAAGAUGCGAUAUGGAGAUCGAAGAUGCUUGAAGCAGAGAUUUCAGAGAGAGGGUUUCUUGAGAGGUUUUCUUGAAGAGUUGAAGAAGGAAUUGAAUAAAGGGCUGUCCAUUUACUUGAAUAAAAGCCGAGUCUGA
Molecule: non-coding RNA, 300 nt
Organism: Vicia faba (fava bean)
Lineage: Eukaryota; Viridiplantae; Streptophyta; Magnoliopsida; Fabales; Fabaceae
Source: the annotation of a GenBank genome assembly